GGCACCACCGGCGGACGGCUCAGUAACACGUCGGUAACCUACCCUCGGGAGGGGGAUAACCCCGGGAAACUGGGGCUAAUUCCCCAUAGGCCUGAGGUACUGGAAGGUCCUCAGGCCGAAAGGGACUUAUGUCCGCCCGAGGAUGGGCCGGCGGCCGAUUAGGUAGUUGGUGGGGUAAUGGCCCACCAAGCCGAAGAUCGGUACGGGCUGUGAGAGCAGGAGCCCGGAGAUGGACACUGAGACACGGGUCCAGGCCCUACGGGGCGCAGCAGGCGCGAAACCUCCGCAAUGCGGGAAACCGCGACGGGGGGACCCCGAGUGCCGUGGCAACGCCACGGCUUUUCCGGAGUGUAAAAAGCUCCGGGAAUAAGGGCUGGGCAAGGCCGGUGGCAGCCGCCGCGGUAAUACCGGCAGCCCGAGUGGGGGGCGCUAUUACUGGGCCUACAGCGUCCGUAGCCGGGCCCGUAAGUCCCUGGCGAAAUCCCACGGCUCACCCGUGGGGAUUGCUGGGGAUACUGCGUUGCUUGCGACAGGGAGAAGAGGGGGGUACC
RNAcentral lists this ribosomal RNA (551 nucleotides) under uncultured archaeon. RNAcentral describes it as "bacterial SSU rRNA". It matches the Rfam family "Archaeal small subunit ribosomal RNA", at positions 71 to 619 of the family's 1478-position model. The record is from RNAcentral.